GAUGAACGCUGGCGGCGUGCCUAAUACAUGCAAGUCGAGCGAACGGACGAGAAGCUUGCUUCUCUGAUGUUAGCGGCUGACGGGUGAGUAACACGUGGAUAACCUACCUAUAAGACUGGGAUAACUUCGGGAAACCGGAGCUAAUACCGGAUAAUAUUUUGAACCGCAUGGUUCAAAAGUGAAAGACGGUCUUGCUGUCACUUAUAGAUGGAUCCGCGCUGCAUUAGCUAGUUGGUAAGGUAACGGCUUACCAAGGCAACGAUGCAUAGCCGACCUGAGAGGGUGAUCGGCCACACUGGAACUGAGACACGGUCCAGACUCCUACGGGAGGCAGCAGUAGGGAAUCUUCCGCAAUGGGCGCAAGCCUGACGGAGCCACGCCGCGUGAGUGAUGAAGGUCUUCGGAUCGUAAAACUCUGUUAUUAGGGAAGAACAUCUGUGUAAGAAACCGUGCACAUCUUGACGGUACCUAAUCAGAAAGCCACGGCUAACUACGUG
This 497-nucleotide ribosomal RNA is filed under the name uncultured bacterium. Its description in RNAcentral is "partial 16S ribosomal RNA". It matches the Rfam family "Bacterial small subunit ribosomal RNA", at positions 28 to 507 of the family's 1533-position model. The record is from RNAcentral.